This 90-nucleotide transfer RNA is filed under the name Candidatus Nomurabacteria bacterium. RNAcentral's name for it is "tRNA-Ser". It matches the Rfam family "tRNA". Rfam says of the family: Transfer RNA (tRNA) molecules are approximately 80 nucleotides in length. Their secondary structure includes four short double-helical elements and three loops (D, anti-codon, and T loops). Lineage: Bacteria; Candidatus Nomuraibacteriota. The record is from RNAcentral.
GGAGAGGUCGCAUAGUGGCCUAGUGCGCUUGCUUGGAAAGCAAGUAAGGGUGAAAGCCCUUCGGGAGUUCGAAUCUCCCCCUCUCCGCCA